AUCAGAAGGUACAGAAUUGUGAUCUCAUGCAACCAGUGUUUAUUUAUAUAUUAAUCAAAAAAAAAGAACAACUUGCUUGUGUGCUUAUAUUAGGUUAUACUACGUAAGUAUUCAUGCAUGUAUAUCUUUUUUAGUGCGAAGCAGUAAUUUCUAAUAUUAAUAAAAAUAUACUUUUUGUGGACAUUGGGGGGUCGUGAAGACUCUAUCAGUGAGUAUUUGUUCUCGGAAGGACUAGAUAUGUAUAUUGAAUAAUCGGACAUAGUACGAUAAGGUUGUAUGUCUAAAGGGAAAUAGCCCAGAACAAGAGUUAAUAAGGUUCCAAAAUUUUUGUUAAGUGAAAUUAAGGCAGUAUUUAUCCCAAUCGGCCAGGGAAUAGGCUUAGAAGCGGCCAUUUUUUGAAGAUCUCGUAACAGAGCACUGGUUUUAUAUUUUAUGGAUAAAAGCACCGAAAAUUUAACGGAUCUAAACAAAAUACCGAUACCUUGUCCAUAUAUAUUAAUGUGUAUAUUAUGUAUUGUAUAUAUGGGGUAGCGGAACAUUGGGUGUGAAACAGCCAUUUUUAAUCCUUUAUAAGGAUUAAAUUGCCUAGAGUUUUUAUUAAUCUCUAGACUAAAUAAGCCCAAGUGAUAAUGCUGACAUGAGUAACGAUAAAGGAUCAUUAAGACAUAAAAUCUUAGAGAAUCCUCGCCUAAAGCUUAUGGAAUUUAUUAAAGUUACGGCCUCUAAGUUUAUUUUUUUCAUAGCUUCAGAUUAUUUAUAUAUAGUACAUAUUUAAGAUCUACAUCUAAAUAGUCGAGAGUUAUGGCAAAUUACCUAAUGGUAUAGACGAUGAGAAAACCUAGAGUUUACAGUAAUUAACGUUUUUUGUUUACGUAGUAACAGUAACUCCGCUUAUCCCUUUAAUUGUUAUUUUAAAAAUGUAUUUUUUAAAGGAAAAGCGGAAGAUCUUUACUAAUAUUUUUAAGUAAAUUAAGUGAAAAAUGUUCUGGAAAACUGUAAGCUCCGUAAGUAAUAUAAAAAAAGUAAAA
Molecule: ribosomal RNA, 1028 nt
Filed under: Cladonia subturgida
Lineage: Eukaryota; Fungi; Ascomycota; Lecanoromycetes; Lecanorales; Cladoniaceae
Description: partial large subunit ribosomal RNA
Rfam family: Bacterial large subunit ribosomal RNA (bases 136-532)
Source: RNAcentral